Molecule: ribosomal RNA, 253 nt
Filed under: uncultured bacterium
Lineage: Bacteria
Description: partial 16S ribosomal RNA
Rfam family: Bacterial small subunit ribosomal RNA
Source: RNAcentral
UACGUAGGUGGCAAGCGUUGUCCGGAAUUAUCGGGCGUAAAGCGCGCGCAGGCGGUCUCUUAAGUCUGAUGUGAAAGCCCACGGCUCAACCGUGGAGGGUCAUUGGAAACUGGGGGACUUGAGUGCAGGAGAGAAGAGUGGAAUUCCACGUGUAGCGGUGAAAUGCGUAGAGAUGUGGAGGAACACCAGUGGCGAAGGCGACUCUUUGGCCUGUAACUGACGCUGAGGCGCGAAAGCGUGGGGAGCAAACAGG